UACGAAGGGGGCUAGCGUUGUUCGGAUUUACUGGGCGUAAAGCGCACGUAGGCGGAUACUUAAGUCAGGGGUGAAAUCCUGGAGCUCAACUCCAGAACUGCCUUUGAUACUGGGUAUCUCGAGUCCGGAAGAGGUGAGUGGAACUCCUAGUGUAGAGGUGGAAUUCGUAGAUAUUAGGAAGAACACCAGUGGCGAAGGCGGCUCACUGGUCCGGUACUGACGCUGAGGUGCGAAAGCGUGGGGAGCAAACAGG
RNAcentral lists this ribosomal RNA (253 nucleotides) under uncultured bacterium. RNAcentral describes it as "partial 16S ribosomal RNA". It matches the Rfam family "Bacterial small subunit ribosomal RNA", at positions 524 to 776 of the family's 1533-position model. The record is from RNAcentral.